Molecule: ribosomal RNA, 1012 nt
Filed under: Dermabacter sp.
Lineage: Bacteria; Bacillati; Actinomycetota; Actinomycetes; Micrococcales; Dermabacteraceae
Description: partial 23S ribosomal RNA
Rfam family: Bacterial large subunit ribosomal RNA
Source: RNAcentral
UUGGCUUAGAAGCAGCCACCCUUGAAAGAGUGCGUAAUAGCUCACUGGUCAAGUGAUUCUGCGCCGAUAAUGUAGCGGGGCUCAAGUACACCGCCGAAGUUGUGGCAAUGAUCUUUUUGGAUUGUUGGGUAGGGGAGCGUCGUGUGGCCGUUGAAGCUGCGGUGUAAACCAGUGGUGGAGGCUAUGCGAGUGAGAAUGCAGGCAUGAGUAGCGAAAGAUGAGUGAGAAACUCAUCCGCCGGAUGAUCAAGGGUUCCAGGGUCAAGUUAAUCUGCCCUGGGUUAGUCGGGGCCUAAGGCGAGGCCGACAGGCGUAGUCGAUGGAUAACGGGUUGAUAUUCCCGUACCGGUGAAGAACCGCCCAUACUGAUAUUGUGAUGCUAACCAUGCGAAGCAUGAUGUGCAGGCUUUUGUUUGUGUGUUGUGUGGGUUGUGGGACCCGAUCUUUGGAGGUAAACGUGUUAACAGGUGUGACGCAGGAAGGUAGCCAAGCCACGCGAUGGUUGUCGUGGUCUAAGCGUGUAGGGUUGUCGGUUGUUAAAUGCGCCGGCUGUGUGCCUGAGACGUGAUGGGACCCUGUUUUUGGGGGAUUUGGUGAUCCUAUGCUGCCGAGAAAAGCAUCGGCGUGAGGUUUUAGCCGCCCGUACCCUAAACCGACACAGGUGAUCAGGUAGAGAAUACUAAGGCGAUCGAGAGAAUCAUGGUUAAGGAACUCGGCAAAAUGCCCCCGUAACUUCGGGAGAAGGGGGACCUUGAGCGUGAUGGGCACUUGCUGUCUGGAGCGUGUAUGGGUCGCAGAGACCAGGGGGAAGCGACUGUUUAUCAAAAACACAGGUCCGUGCGAAGUCGUAAGACGAUGUAUACGGACUGACUCCUGCCCGGUGCUGGAAGGUUAAGAGGAUUGGUUAGCUCUUUUGGGCGAAGCUGAGAAUUUAAGCCCCAGUAAACGGCGGUGGUAACUAUAACCAUCCUAAGGUAGCGAAAUUCCUUGUCGGGUAAGUUCCGACCUGCACG